This 60-nucleotide ribosomal RNA is filed under the name uncultured organism. RNAcentral describes it as "partial 16S ribosomal RNA". The record is from RNAcentral.
UGCUCUUGACAUACUUGGAAUCUCCUGAUAACAGGAGAGUGCCUUCGGGAACCAAGAUAU